This is a long non-coding RNA of Oncorhynchus gorbuscha (pink salmon), 857 nucleotides long. RefSeq lists it as uncharacterized. The transcript has 2 exons. Lineage: Eukaryota; Metazoa; Chordata; Actinopteri; Salmoniformes; Salmonidae. The record is from RefSeq and is a predicted model, not a curated record.
AUCUGUUAGCAGGCCAUAUUUGGCUGUAUGUUUGAGACUGCUGCCCUUAGUCAAAAUCAAGAUUUCCUAUGUUGUCUUGACAUCCCUGGUGUUUGUGCUCUCCCCUUCAGCUGGUGUGUUCUGUGCCAUUGUGUCUCACCCUGCUGACUCUGUGGUGUCUGUACUGAACAAGGAGAGUGGCAGCAGUGCCCUCGGAGUACUCAAGAAACUCGGACCCAAAGUGUGUGGAAGGAUCUGGUGGCUCGUAUCAUCAUGAUCGGUACCCUGACCGCCCUGCAGUGGUUCAUCUACGACUCUGUGAAGGUCUACGUCCCCCUCCCCCAGAGAUGCCCGAGUCCCUCAAGAAGAAGCUUGGCCCUCACAGAGUAACGAAACAAAUAUCGGCUUUAUCAACAAAUAGCCAUUCAAAAUGGCGGCCUUAUCAACAGCCAUAUAAGAUGUAAGACAGCGGCCUUAUCAAACACAUCCUUCAGUUGACAACCGCCUAGCACACCGCUCUCUACCUGCUAUAGUCAUAGCUGUCCUGCCUGUAGUCCACCUACCCUGGGCUGGGCUACUGAUCAGCAGGAUUGGGGUUGAUUCAAUUUGAAUUCCGUGUCAGUUCUAGACUUUAAUUCUAAUUUUCAAUGCAAAUUUUCUUAAUUGAAUGCAAGGUAAUUGGAAUUUCAGUUUACUUACUGAAUUGAUUGUCCCCAGCCCAACUGGUCAUUGGUAAUGACUCAUUAGGCAUACUAAAAGAUAAGAGGGAAGAUGGUUCCCCCAUGUGGGGGUAUAGAGGAAAGACUACGACAUGAAUGCAAUCAGGUUUUAACACCCCACCAUAGUUGGUUAAUGUUCUAAUAAAUGUAGAAACAACA